AUGUCACCACAAACAGAAACUAAAGCAGGUGUUGGAUUUCAAGCUGGUGUUAAAGAUUAUAAAUUGACUUACUACACCCCAGAGUAUGAAACUAAGGAUACUGAUAUCUUGGCAGCAUUCCGAGUAAGUCCUCAGCCUGGGGUUCCGCCCGAAGAAGCAGGGGCUGCAGUAGCUGCCGAAUCUUCUACUGGUACAUGGACAACUGUUUGGACUGAUGGACUUACCAGUCUUGAUCGUUACAAAGGACGAUGCUAUCACAUCGAGCCUGUUGCUGGGGAAGACAACCAAUGGAUCUGUUAUGUAGCUUAUCCAUUAGACCUAUUUGAAGAGGGUUCCGUUACUAACAUGUUUACUUCCAUUGUAGGUAACGUAUUUGGUUUCAAAGCCCUAUGUACUCUACGUUUGGAGGAUCUACGAAUUCCCCCUACUUAUUCAAAAAAAUUCCAAGGCCCGCCUCAUGGUAUCCAAGUUGAAAGAGAUAAGUUGAACAAGUAUGGUCGUCCUUUAUUGGGAUGUACUAUUAAACCAAAAUUGGGAUUAUCCGCAAAAAAUUAUGGUAGAGCGUGUUAUGAGUGUCUACAUGGUGGACUUGAUUUUACCAAAGAUGAUGAAAACGUAAACUCACAACCAUUUAUGCGCUGGAGAGACCGUUUUGUCUUUUGUGCCAAAGCUAUUUAUAAAUCACAGGCCGAAACCGGUGAAAUCAAGGGGCAUUACUUGAAUGCGACUGCGGGUACAUGUGAAGAAAUGAUUAAGAGAGCUGUAUUUGCAAGAGAAUUAGGGGUUCCUAUUGUAAUGCAUGACUACUUAACUGGGGGAUUCACCGCAAAUACUACUUUGGCUCAUUAUUGCCGCGCCAAUGGCCUACUUCUUCACAUUCACCGUGCAAUGCAUGCAGUUAUUGAUAGACAGAAAAAUCAUGGUAUGCAUUUCCGUGUAUUAGCUAAAGCAUUGCGUAUGUCUGGGGGAGAUCAUAUCCACUCUGGUACAGUAGUAGGUAAGUUAGAAGGGGAACGCGAAAUGACUUUAGGUUUUGUUGAUUUAUUACGCGAUGAUUUUAUUGAAAAAGAUCGUGCUCGCGGUAUCUUUUUCACUCAGGACUGGGUAUCCAUGCCAGGUGUUAUACCGGUAGCUUCAGGUGGUAUUCAUGUUUGGCAUAUGCCAGCUCUGACCGAAAUCUUUGGGGACGAUUCUGUAUUACAAUUUGGUGGAGGAACUUUAGGACAUCCUUGGGGAAAUGCACCUGGUGCAGCAGCUAAUCGAGUGGCUUUAGAAGCCUGUGUACAAGCUCGUAACGAAGGGCGCGAUCUUGCUCGCGAAGGUAAUGAAAUUAUCCGAGCAGCUUGCAAAUGGAGUCCUGAACUAGCCGCAGCUUGUGAAGUAUGGAAGGCGAUCAAAUUCGAGUUCGAGCCGGUAGAUACUAUUGAUUAA
RNAcentral lists this ribosomal RNA (1431 nucleotides) under Triticum aestivum (bread wheat). Its description in RNAcentral is "partial small subunit ribosomal RNA". The record is from RNAcentral. Lineage: Eukaryota; Viridiplantae; Streptophyta; Magnoliopsida; Poales; Poaceae.